UGGGGAAUUGUUCGCAAUGGGCGCAAGCCUGACGACGCAACGCCGCGUGGAGGAUGAAGACCUUCGGGUCGUAAACUCCUGUCGAAUGGGACGAAUGGUCUGGCCGUGAACAACGGCUGGAAAUGACGGUACCGUGAGAGGAAGCCCCGGCUAACUCCGUGCCAGCAGCCGCGGUAAUACGGGGGGGGCAAGCGUUGUUCGGAAUUACUGGGCGUAAAGGGCUCGUAGGUGGCCAAUUAAGUCCGACGUGAAAUCCCUCGGCUCAACCGGGGAACUGCGUCGGAUACUGGAUGGCUUGAAUCCGGGAGAGGGACGUGGAAUUCCAGGUGUAGCGGUGAAAUGCGUAGAUAUCUGGAGGAACACCGGUGGCGAAGGCGGCGUCCUGGACCGGAAUUGACACUGAGGAGCGAAAGCCAGGGGAGCAAACGGG
Molecule: ribosomal RNA, 430 nt
Filed under: uncultured Vicinamibacter sp.
Lineage: Bacteria; Pseudomonadati; Acidobacteriota; Vicinamibacteria; Vicinamibacterales; Vicinamibacteraceae
Description: bacterial SSU rRNA
Rfam family: Bacterial small subunit ribosomal RNA
Source: RNAcentral